This 476-nucleotide ribosomal RNA is filed under the name uncultured bacterium. RNAcentral describes it as "bacterial SSU rRNA". It matches the Rfam family "Bacterial small subunit ribosomal RNA", at positions 33 to 518 of the family's 1533-position model. The record is from RNAcentral.
ACGCUGGCGGCGUGCCUAACACAUGCAAGUCGAGCGGAGAUACUUUAUAAGCUUGCUUAAGGAGUAUCUUAGCGGCGGAUGGGUGAGGAACGCGUGGAGAACCUGCCCUUCACAGGGGGAUAACAGUUGGAAACGACUGUUAAUACCGCAUAUGCUCACAGCACCGCAUGGUGCAGGGAGGAAAGCGCUAGUGGUGAAGGAUGGCUCCGCGUCGGAUUAGCCAGUUGGCGGGGUAACGGCCCACCAAAGCGAUGAUCCGUAGCCGGCCUGAGAGGGCGACCGGCCACAUUGGGACUGAGACACGGCCCAAACUCCUACGGGAGGCAGCAGUGGGGGAUAUUGCACAAUGGGCGAAAGCCUGAUGCAGCGACGCCGCGUGAAGGAAGACGUACCUCGGUAUGUAAACUUCUAUCAGCAGGGAAGAAGAUGACGGUACCUGACUAAGAAGCCCCGGCUAACUACGUGCCAGCAGCUGC